Molecule: ribosomal RNA, 274 nt
Filed under: uncultured bacterium
Lineage: Bacteria
Description: partial 16S ribosomal RNA
Rfam family: Bacterial small subunit ribosomal RNA
Source: RNAcentral
CUACGGAGGGGGCUAGCGUUGUUCGGAAUUACUGGGCGUAAAGCGUACGUAGGCGGACUGAUCAGUUGGGGGUGAAAUCCCAGGGCUUAACCCUGGAACUGCCUUCAAUACUGUCAGUCUUGAGAUUGGAAGAGGUGAGUGGAAUUCCUAGUGUAGAGGUGAAAUUCAUAGAUAUUAGGAGGAACACCAGUGGCGAAGGCGGCUAACUGGUCCAAUACUGACGCUGAGGUACGAAAGCGUGGGGAGCAAACAGGAUUAGAUACCCUAGUAGUCC